UGAGGUUUUGAAAUGAAUAUCAAGCUUACUCUUCUGAAACUAGUCCAUCUGUGUUCUCUCUAAACACAUUUUCAAGAUGGACAGGUUAAAAGUCGACUGGUUAACCACAAUGGAAACAGCACAUCUUUAGUAACUGUUGUUCCCCAACCAGUCAGAGAUUGAUGUAAAAGGCCCUCUUGUUGUGGUUACAACAAAACUGUUGCUAAGCACCAACAGUUUUAACAUCAAAAAGAUCAACUAAAUUAACAUGAAGAGAUUUCAUUCCAGAGGAAGACCUGCUAUGCGCUGAAGAAAAGCAGGUUAACACUGAGGACAUGAAUCAGAGACUCUCAGAACUGAUUUAAAGGAGGGCUUGUGCUGUUUCUUCAUAUCCCAUUCUGGAAAAGGGACAAGAACAUGAAAGCCUAAAGCAAAGCGCAUCACACUCACAUCAACUUUGAUCAGACCACCUUAAGGAACAUUUAAUCAACCUUCAUGAUUCAAAGGACACUGCAUCACUCACCUUCUCCUGAUGCCCUGUUUUCAUGGAUGAUGUGAAUUUUUUUAUAGCAAGCAAUAAAGGACUGUUUGACCCAGUA
This is a long non-coding RNA of Ornithorhynchus anatinus (platypus), 578 nucleotides long. RefSeq lists it as uncharacterized. The record is from RefSeq and is a predicted model, not a curated record. The transcript has 2 exons. NCBI's taxonomy places the organism in Eukaryota, Metazoa, Chordata, Mammalia, Monotremata, Ornithorhynchidae.